This 253-nucleotide ribosomal RNA is filed under the name uncultured bacterium. RNAcentral describes it as "partial 16S ribosomal RNA". It matches the Rfam family "Bacterial small subunit ribosomal RNA", at positions 524 to 776 of the family's 1533-position model. The record is from RNAcentral.
UACAGAGGUCCCAAGCGUUGUUCGGAUUCAUUGGGCGUAAAGGGUGCGUAGGCGGCGCGGUAAGUCGGGUGUGAAAUCUCGGGGCUUAACUCCGAAACUGCAUUCGAUACUGCCGUGCUUGAGGACUGGAGAGGAGACUGGAAUUUACGGUGUAGCGGUGAAAUGCGUAGAUAUCGUAAGGAAGACCAGUGGCGAAGGCGGGUCUCUGGGCCGAUAUUGACGCUGAGGAGCGAAAGCGUGGGGAGCAAACAGG